Molecule: RNase P RNA, 439 nt
Filed under: Salmonella enterica subsp. enterica serovar Typhimurium
Lineage: Bacteria; Pseudomonadati; Pseudomonadota; Gammaproteobacteria; Enterobacterales; Enterobacteriaceae
Description: bacterial RNase P
Rfam family: Bacterial RNase P class A
About the family: Ribonuclease P (RNase P) is a ubiquitous endoribonuclease, found in archaea, bacteria and eukarya as well as chloroplasts and mitochondria. Its best characterised activity is the generation of mature 5'-ends of tRNAs by cleaving the 5'-leader elements of precursor-tRNAs. Cellular RNase Ps are ribonucleoproteins.
Source: RNAcentral
GAAGCUGACCAGACAGUCGCCGCUUCGUCGUCGUCCUUUCGGGGAGACGGGCGGAGGGGAGGAAAGUCCGGGCUCCAUAGGGCAGGGUGCCAGGUAACGCCUGGGGGGGAAACCCACGACCAGUGCAACAGAGAGCAAACCGCCGAUGGCCCACGUAAGUGGGAUCAGGUAAGGGUGAAAGGGUGCGGUAAGAGCGCACCGCGCGGCUGGUAACAGUCCGUGGCACGGUAAACUCCACCCGGAGCAAGGCCAAAUAGGGGUUCAUAAGGUACGGCCCGUACUGAACCCGGGUAGGCUGCUUGAGCCAGCAAGGCCAAAUAGGGGUUCAUAAGGUACGGCCCGUACUGAACCCGGGUAGGCUGCUUGAGCCAGUGAGCGAUUGCUGGCCUAGAUGAAUGACUGUCCACGACAGAACCCGGCUUAUCGGUCAGUUUCACUU